This 657-nucleotide long non-coding RNA is filed under the name Homo sapiens (human). RNAcentral's name for it is "HSALNT0093343". The record is from RNAcentral. Lineage: Eukaryota; Metazoa; Chordata; Mammalia; Primates; Hominidae.
GUUUAAUCCUAAGAAUAAUGGAAAGCCCAAAAUCCCCAUUGGGAAAUUUUGACAACGGGAGUGGCAUGAACUAGUGUGUGCUUUGAGUAUCAUGCUCUGGCUGCUGUGUGGAGACCUGAAUGUAUGAAACAGAAGUGGAAGCAGGCUGCCCUGUCAGGAGACCCUGCGGUGUCCGUCGCUGUCGCCUGUCCUCCACACAUGGAAUUCAGCCACUGUAGACUGGCUCGUGGCCCUCCCUGAUAUGGAUCAUCACAUUUUGGAGUUCUCAGUCCUGUGUACAAAGUCCAACUAUCUGAGGCCACCAUGCACUUAGGAUGUCCAGGCCACCUGGAGAGGCUACCAGAUAUGUGUAUGAAGAAGUUGUCUUGAAAGUGGAUCUUCCAGCCCAUGUUAUUCUAGCUACAGCUGUUUGAGUCUCCUUGUACAAGCCCCAGACAUCAUGGAAUGGAGAAGAGCUGAGCCACGGUGUCCUCUCCAAAUUCUCAAUCCACAAAACUCAUGAAAAUAAUAAAAUGAUUGUGUCUUUGUGCUACUAAAUUUAGGGAAAUUUGUUAUUCAGCAAAGAUGAUUAGAACAAGAGACCACAAUUUGACUAUCAUAUUUCAGAAAUGACACAGAUCCAGAGAGGUUAAAUAAAUCAUUUUAUUCAAAUGAAGA